ACGGAACAAAAGAGCUUGCUCUUUUGUUUAGUGGCGAACGGGUGAGUAACGCGUGAGCAACCUGCCUUUCAGAGGGGGACAACAGUUGGAAACGACUGCUAAUACCGCAUAACAUUGUGAAGUCGCAUGGCUUUACAAUCAAAGAUUUAUCGCUGAAAGAGGGGCUCGCGUCCGAUUAGAUAGUUGGUGAGGUAAUGGCUCACCAAGUCGACGAUCGGUAGCCGGACUGAGAGGUUGAACGGCCACAUUGGGACUGAGAUACGGCCCAGACUCCUACGGGAGGCAGCAGUGGGGGAUAUUGCACAAUGGGGGAAACCCUGAUGCAGCAAUGCCGCGUGAGGGAAGAAGGUCUUCGGAUUGUAAACCUUUGUUUUUAGUGACGAAACAAAUGACGGUAGCUAAAGAGGAAGCUCCGGCUAACUACGUGCCAGCAGCCGCGGUAAUACGUAGGGAGCGAGCGUUGUCCGGAUUUACUGGGUGUAAAGGGUGCGCAGGCGGGAAUGUAAGUUGGAUGUGAAAUGCAGAGGCUCAACCUCUGACCUGCAUCCAAAACUACGUUUCUUGAGUGAAGUAGAGGUAGGCGGAAUUCCGAGUGUAGCGGUGAAAUGCGUAGAUAUUCGGAGGAACACCAGUGGCGAAG
RNAcentral lists this ribosomal RNA (640 nucleotides) under uncultured bacterium. Its description in RNAcentral is "bacterial SSU rRNA". It matches the Rfam family "Bacterial small subunit ribosomal RNA", at positions 66 to 720 of the family's 1533-position model. The record is from RNAcentral.